CAAAAGCGUAUAUUGAAGUUGUUGCAGUUAAAAAGCUCGUAGUUGAACCUUGGGCUUGGCUGGCCGGUCCAUCUUUUUUGAUGCGUACUGGACCCAGCCGAGCCUUUCCUUCUGGCUAGCCUUUUGGCGAACCAGGACUUUUACUUUGAAAAAAUUAGAGUGUUCAAAGCAGGCCUUUGCUCGAAUAUAUUAGCAUGGAAUAAUAGAAUAGGACGUUAUGGUUCUAUUUUGUUGGUUUCUAGGACCAUCGUAAUGAUUAAUAGGGACGGUCGGGGGUAUCAGUAUUCAGUUGUCAGAGGUGAAAUUCUUGGAUUUACUGAAGACUAACUACUGCGAAAGCAUUUACCAAGGACGUUUUCAUUAA
RNAcentral lists this ribosomal RNA (364 nucleotides) under uncultured eukaryote. RNAcentral describes it as "partial 18S ribosomal RNA". It matches the Rfam family "Eukaryotic small subunit ribosomal RNA", at positions 592 to 976 of the family's 1831-position model. The record is from RNAcentral.